RNAcentral lists this ribosomal RNA (254 nucleotides) under uncultured bacterium. RNAcentral's name for it is "partial 16S ribosomal RNA". It matches the Rfam family "Bacterial small subunit ribosomal RNA", at positions 524 to 776 of the family's 1533-position model. The record is from RNAcentral.
UACGGGGGGAGCAAGCGUUGUUCGGAUUUACUGGGCGGAAAGGGCGCGUAGGCGGUCAGCACAAGUCAGUUGUGAAAUCUCCGGGCUUAACUCGGAAAGGUCAACUGAUACUGUGCGACUAGAGUGCGGAAGGGGCAACUGGAAUUCUCGGUGUAGCGGUGAAAUGCGUAGAUAUCGAGAGGAACACCUGCGGCGAAGGCGGGUUGCUGGGCCGACACUGACGCUGAUGCGCGAAAGCCAGGGGAGCGAACGGG